RNAcentral lists this ribosomal RNA (539 nucleotides) under uncultured bacterium. RNAcentral's name for it is "bacterial SSU rRNA". It matches the Rfam family "Bacterial small subunit ribosomal RNA", at positions 373 to 905 of the family's 1533-position model. The record is from RNAcentral.
GGGGGCAACCCUGAUCCAGCAAUGCCGCGUGUGUGAAGAAGGCCUUCGGGUUGUAAAGCACUUUUGUCCGGAAAGAAAUCCNUUGGCCUAAUACCGCGGGGGGAUGACGGUACCGGAAGAAUAAGCACCGGCUAACUACGUGCCAGCAGCCGCGGUAAUACGUAGGGUGCGAGCGUUAAUCGGAAUUACUGGGCGUAAAGCGUGCGCAGGCGGUUUGAUAAGACAGGCGUGAAAUCCCCGGGCUUAACCUGGGAAUGGCGCUUGUGACUGUCAGGCUAGAGUGCGUCAGAGGGGGGUAGAAUUCCACGUGUAGCAGUGAAAUGCGUAGAGAUGUGGAGGAAUACCGAUGGCGAAGGCAGCCCCCUGGGACGUGACUGACGCUCAUGCACGAAAGCGUGGGGAGCAAACAGGAUUAGAUACCCUGGUAGUCCACGCCCUAAACGAUGUCAACUAGUUGUUGGGGAUUCAUUUCUUCAGUAACGUAGCUAACGCGUGAAGUUGACCGCCUGGGGAGUACGGUCGCAAGAUUAAAACUCAAG